UACGAAGGAUGCGAGCGUUAUCCGGAUUUAUUGGGUUUAAAGGGAGCGUAGGCGGUCUUAUAAGUCAGUGGUGAAAUCUCGAUGCUUAACAUCGAACGUGCCAUUGAUACUGUAGGACUUGAGCACAGUUGCCGUUGGCGGAAUGUGUCAUGUAGCGGUGAAAUGCAUAGAUAUGACACAGAACACCGAUUGCGAAGGCAGCUGACGAAACUGUAACUGACGCUGAGGCUCGAAAGCGUGGGGAUCAAACAGG
Molecule: ribosomal RNA, 253 nt
Filed under: uncultured bacterium
Lineage: Bacteria
Description: partial 16S ribosomal RNA
Rfam family: Bacterial small subunit ribosomal RNA
Source: RNAcentral